GGGUCGAUGCCCGAGUGGUUAAAGGGAACGGAUUGUAAAUCCGUCGGUAAACACCUACGUAGGUUCAAAUCCUACUCGGCCCA
Molecule: transfer RNA, 83 nt
Filed under: Diacronema lutheri
Lineage: Eukaryota; Haptophyta; Pavlovophyceae; Pavlovales; Pavlovaceae
Also listed under: 1 other name
Description: tRNA-Tyr
Rfam family: tRNA
About the family: Transfer RNA (tRNA) molecules are approximately 80 nucleotides in length. Their secondary structure includes four short double-helical elements and three loops (D, anti-codon, and T loops). Further hydrogen bonds mediate the characteristic L-shaped molecular structure. tRNAs have two regions of fundamental functional importance: the anti-codon, which is responsible for specific mRNA codon recognition, and the 3' end, to which the tRNAs corresponding amino acid is attached (by aminoacyl-tRNA synthetases). tRNAs cope with the degeneracy of the genetic code in two manners: having more than one tRNA (with a specific anti-codon) for a particular amino acid; and 'wobble' base-pairing, i.e. permitting non-standard base-pairing at the 3rd anti-codon position.
Source: RNAcentral